This 143-nucleotide unclassified non-coding RNA is filed under the name uncultured Fusarium. RNAcentral describes it as "sequence contains ITS1". The record is from RNAcentral. Lineage: Eukaryota; Fungi; Ascomycota; Sordariomycetes; Hypocreales; Nectriaceae.
CCGAGUUUACAACUCCCAAACCCCUGUGAACAUACCACUCGUUGCCUCGGCGGAUCACCGCGCCCCGUGAAACGGGCCGGCCCGCCAGAGGACCUAAACUCAAUGUUUUAUUGUAUCUUCUGAGUAAAAACACAAAUAAAUCA